Molecule: ribosomal RNA, 769 nt
Filed under: uncultured bacterium
Lineage: Bacteria
Description: bacterial SSU rRNA
Rfam family: Bacterial small subunit ribosomal RNA
Source: RNAcentral
AGAGUUUGAUCCUGGCUCAGAUUGAACGCUGGCGGCAUGCCUUACACAUGCAAGUCGAACGGUAACAGGUCUUCGGAUGCUGACGAGUGGCGAACGGGUGAGUAAUACAUCGGAACGUGCCCGAUCGUGGGGGAUAACGAGGCGAAAGCUUUGCUAAUACCGCAUACGAUCUACGGAUGAAAGCGGGGGAUCUUCGGACCUCGCGCGGACGGAGCGGCCGAUGGCAGAUUAGGUAGUUGGUGGGAUAAAAGCUUACCAAGCCGACGAUCUGUAGCUGGUCUGAGAGGAUGGUCAGCCACACUGGGACUGAGACACGGCCCAGACUCCUACGGGAGGCAGCAGUGGGGAAUUUUGGACAAUGGGCGAAAGCCUGAUCCAGCCAUGCCGCGUGCAGGAUGAAGGCCUUCGGGUUGUAAACUGCUUUUGUACGGAACGAAAAGCCUCUUUCUAAUAAAGAGGGGUCAUGACGGUACCGUAAGAAUAAGCACCGGCUAACUACGUGCCAGCAGCCGCGGUAAUACGUAGGGUGCAAGCGUUAAUCGGAAUUACUGGGCGUAAAGCGUGCGCAGGCGGUUUUGUAAGACAGAGGUGAAAUCCCCGGGCUCAACCUGGGAACUGCCUUUGUGACUGCAAGGCUGGAGUGCGGCAGAGGGGGAUGGAAUUCCGCGUGUAGCAGUGAAAUGCGUAGAUAUGCGGAGGAACACCGAUGGCGAAGGCAAUCCCCUGGGCCUGCACUGACGCUCAUGCACGAAAGCGUGGGGAGCAAACA